GUGCUCACAUGGGCAGCACAUGUACUAAAACUGGAAGGAUACAGAGAAGAGUAGCGUGGCCCCCGCAUAAGGAUGACACACAAAUUCAUGAAGCCAUCAGGCAUAAG
Small nuclear RNA from Neogale vison (American mink), 107 nucleotides. Lineage: Eukaryota; Metazoa; Chordata; Mammalia; Carnivora; Mustelidae. The record is from Ensembl.